GUGCCAGCAGCCGCGGUAAUACCAGCACCCCGAGUGGUCGGGACGAUUAUUGGGCCUAAAGCAUCCGUAGCCGGUCCUGCAAGUCUUCCGUUAAAUCCAGCUGCUCAACAGAUGGGCUGCGGGGGAUACUACAGGGCUAGGAGGCGGGAGAGGCAAGCGGUACUUUAUGGGUAGGGGUAAAAUCCGUUGAUCCAUAGAAGACCACCAGUGGCGAAGGCGGCUUGCCAGAACGCGCUCGACGGUGAGGGAUGAAAGCUGGGGGAGCAAACCGGAUUAGAAACCCCCGUAGUCC
This 292-nucleotide ribosomal RNA is filed under the name uncultured bacterium. Its description in RNAcentral is "partial 16S ribosomal RNA". It matches the Rfam family "Archaeal small subunit ribosomal RNA", at positions 455 to 747 of the family's 1478-position model. The record is from RNAcentral.